This 365-nucleotide ribosomal RNA is filed under the name uncultured bacterium. Its description in RNAcentral is "bacterial SSU rRNA". It matches the Rfam family "Bacterial small subunit ribosomal RNA", at positions 8 to 375 of the family's 1533-position model. The record is from RNAcentral.
AGAGUUUGAUCCUGGCUCAGAUUGAACGCUGGCGGCAUGCUUUACACAUGCAAGUCGAACGGCAGCACGGGGGCAACCCUGGUGGCGAGUGGCGAACGGGUGAGUAAUAUAUCGGAACAUAUCCGGAAGUGGGGGAUAACGUACCGAAAGGUACGCUAAUACCGCAUAUGCCCUGAGGGGGAAAGGGGGGGAUCGCAAGACCUCUCGCUUUCGGAGUGGCCGAUAUCGGAUUAGCUAGUUGGUGAGGUAGAGGCUCACCAAGGCGACGAUCCGUAGCUGGUCUGAGAGGACGACCAGCCACACUGGAACUGAGACACGGUCCAGACUCCUACGGGAGGCAGCAGUGGGGAAUUUUGGACAAUGGG